UACGUAGGGUGCAAGCGUUAAUCGGAAUUACUGGGCGUAAAGCGUGCGCAGGCGGCUUUGCAAGACAGAUGUGAAAUCCCCGGGCUUAACCUGGGAACUGCAUUUGUGACUGCAUGGCUGGAGUGCGGCAGAGGGGGAUGGAAUUCCGCGUGUAGCAGUGAAAUGCGUAGAUAUGCGGAGGAACACCGAUGGCGAGGGCAAUCCCCUGGGCCUGCACUGACGCUCAUGCACGAAAGCGUGGGGAGCAAACAGG
This 253-nucleotide ribosomal RNA is filed under the name uncultured bacterium. Its description in RNAcentral is "partial 16S ribosomal RNA". It matches the Rfam family "Bacterial small subunit ribosomal RNA", at positions 524 to 776 of the family's 1533-position model. The record is from RNAcentral.